AAUAGACUACCCGGGUAGUCCACGCCGUAAACGGUGGGCACUAGGUGUGGGCGACAUUCCACGUCGUCCGUGCCGCAGCUAACGCAUUAAGUGCCCCGCCUGGGGAGUACGGCCGCAAGGCUAAAACUCAAAGGAAUUGACGGGGGCCCGCACAAGCGGCGGAGCAUGUGGCUUAAUUCGACGCAACGCGAAGAACCUUACCAAGGCUUGACAUACACCGGAAAACCCUGGAGACAGGGUCCCCCUUGUGGUCGGUGUACAGGUGGUGCAUGACUGUCGUCAGCUCGUGUCGUGAGAUGUUGGGUUAAGUCCCGCAACGAGCGCAACCCUUGUCCCGUAUUGCCAGCAGGCCCUUGUGGUGCUGGGGACUCACGGGAGACCGCCGGGGUCAACUCGGAGGAAGGUGGGGACGACGUCAAGUCAUCAUGCCCCUUAUGUCUUGGGCUGCACACGUGCUACAAUGGCCGGUACAAUGAGCUGCGAUACCGCGAGGUGGAGCGAAUCUCAAAAAGCCGGUCUCAGUUCGGAUUGGGGUCUGCAACUCGACCCC
This 550-nucleotide ribosomal RNA is filed under the name uncultured bacterium. Its description in RNAcentral is "bacterial SSU rRNA". It matches the Rfam family "Bacterial small subunit ribosomal RNA", at positions 777 to 1319 of the family's 1533-position model. The record is from RNAcentral.